Molecule: transfer RNA, 69 nt
Filed under: Ictidomys tridecemlineatus (thirteen-lined ground squirrel)
Lineage: Eukaryota; Metazoa; Chordata; Mammalia; Rodentia; Sciuridae
Description: Spermophilus tridecemlineatus (thirteen-lined ground squirrel) tRNA
Rfam family: tRNA
About the family: Transfer RNA (tRNA) molecules are approximately 80 nucleotides in length. Their secondary structure includes four short double-helical elements and three loops (D, anti-codon, and T loops).
Source: Rfam by way of RNAcentral
GGGAUUGUGGCUCAGUGGAAGAGCACUCACCUAGUAUGUGCGAGGCCCUGGGUUUGAUCCUCAGCACCA